Molecule: ribosomal RNA, 425 nt
Filed under: uncultured bacterium
Lineage: Bacteria
Description: bacterial SSU rRNA
Rfam family: Bacterial small subunit ribosomal RNA
Source: RNAcentral
GUGGGGAAUAUUGGACAAUGGGCGCAAGCCUGAUCCAGCCAUGCCGCGUGAGUGAUGAAGGCCUUAGGGUUGUAAAGCUCUUUCAGUGGGGACGAUAAUGACGGUACCCACAGAAGAAGCCCCGGCUAACUUCGUGCCAGCAGCCGCGGUAAUACGAAGGGGGCUAGCGUUGUUCGGAUUUACUGGGCGUAAAGCGCACGUAGGCGGAUCGUUAAGUCGGGGGUGAAAUCCUGGAGCUCAACUCCAGAACUGCCGUCGAUACUGGCGAUCUUGAGUCCGGAAGAGGUGGGUGAAACUCCUAGUGUAGAGGGGGAAUUCGUAGAUAUUAGGAAGAACACCAGUGGCGAAGGCGGGUCACUGGUCCGGUACUGACGCUGAGGUGCGAAAGCGUGGGGAGCAAACAGGAUUAGAAACCCCAGUAGUCC